AUUGAACGCUGGCGGCAGGCUUAACACAUGCAAGUCGAACGGUAACAUAAGAAAAGCUUGCUUUUUUUGAUGACGAGUGGCGGACGGGUGAGUAAUGCUUGGGAAUCUGCCUUAUGGAGGGGGAUAACUACGGGAAACUGUAGCUAAUACCGCAUAAUAUCUACGGAUUAAAGUGUGGGAUCUUCGGACCACAUGCCAUAAGAUGAGCCCAAGUGAGAUUAGGUAGUUGGUGAGGUAAAGGCUCACCAAGCUGACGAUCUCUAGCUGGUUUGAGAGGAUGACCAGCCACACUGGGACUGAGACACGGCCCAGACUCCUACGGGAGGCAGCAGUGGGGAAUAUUGCACAAUGGGCGCAAGCCUGAUGCAGCCAUGCCGCGUGAAUGAAGAAGGCUUUCGGGUUGUAAAGUUCUUUCAUUAGUGAGAAAGGUAUAAAUGUUAAUAGCAUUUGUAAUUGAUGUUAGCUAAAGAAGAAGCACCGGCUAACUCCGUGCCAGCAGCCGCGGUAAUACGGAGGGUGCGAGCGUUAAUCGGAAUAACUGGGCGUAAAGGGCAUGCAGGCGGUUACUUAAGUCAGAUGUGAAAGCCCCGAGCUUAACUUGGGAAUUGCAUUUGAAACUGGGUGACUAGAGUCCUCUAGGGAGGGGUAGAAUUCCACGUGUAGCGGUGAAAUGCGUAGAGAUGUGGAGGAAUACCGAAGCGAAGCAGCCCCUUGGAGAGAGACUGACGCUCAUAUGCGAAAGCGUGGGUAGCAAACAGG
This 759-nucleotide ribosomal RNA is filed under the name uncultured bacterium. RNAcentral describes it as "bacterial SSU rRNA". It matches the Rfam family "Bacterial small subunit ribosomal RNA", at positions 28 to 776 of the family's 1533-position model. The record is from RNAcentral.